Molecule: long non-coding RNA, 1091 nt
Organism: Homo sapiens (human)
Lineage: Eukaryota; Metazoa; Chordata; Mammalia; Primates; Hominidae
Gene: MAP4K3-DT
Product: MAP4K3 divergent transcript
Source: Ensembl
GUUCCGGCUCCGCGCGCCUGCCAGGCCGGGGCCGGCGGCGGAACAGCUUGGGACCCGAAACGCCUCGGCUUUUCUGCGGACCCGCGCCCGGCCGCUGCCGCCGGACGCUUGAAAAGAGGCAGAGUCUUGCUUUGUUGUCCAGGCUGGUCUUGAACUUCUGAGCUCAAGUGAUCCUCCCGCCUUGGCCUCCCAAAGUGCUGAGACUACAGAGAGAGAAUGCUAACGAGCUGUGAAAUGACCAAAGAUCUGGCAGCAGAAGGGAAAAGAAAAAAUAAUGGAAUAUUUUCUGUCUACAAUUGGUUGAAUCUGUGGAUGUGGAAACUGCAGAUACAGAUGGAGAGCCGACUAUACUAGCUUUUUGUUUCAUUUUUCACUUCUGGUGUGUGUGUGUGUGUGUGUGUGUGUGUGUGUGUGUGUGUAUCUGUGUGUGUGUUUUAUUAAUCUCUGUGCCUGCAUGUUAGUUUCUUCCUCUUUAUUUGGAUUUUCACUAACAUUCUUUUCAGCUUCUUCAGUUGGAUACUUGUUGCCAAUAUAUUUUUUUUCAUUCUAAGAAUUAAAUAAAUGGGCCAGGCGUGGUGGCUCAUGCCUGUAAUCCCAGCACUUUGGGAGGCCAAGAUGGGUGGAUCACAAGGUCAGGUGUUUGAGACCAGCUUGGCCAAAGCUGGUGAAACUCCAUCUCUACUAAAAAUACAAAAAUUAGCUGGGCAUGGUGGUGCGCGUCUAUAAUCCCAGCUACUCAGGAAGCUGAGGCAGGAGAAUCACUUGCACCCAAGAAGUGGAGGUUGCAGUGAGCCAAGAUUGCGCCAUUGCACCCCAGCCUGGGCAACACAGCGAGACUCCAUCUGAAAAAAAAAAAAAAGAAUAAAUGAAUGUAUUAAUCACCAAACUGCUCUUCAUCAGAAACUCUUAGCAGUGGUAUGUUGAGGUCUCCCUGCCUACCGUAUAUGUCUCUUAACUCUGCGGGUGCAAUAUUUUGUCAUGGGUCAGUUUAGCAAUAUUGUACUAUUUCCCAAUUUUCUAAGUGUGUUCAUUUCAGAGUUUAUCCUAUUCAUUGUUCUUUCUUUCUUUUAAAAAUUUCUAUGACUGAGCUG